Molecule: transfer RNA, 67 nt
Filed under: Aeneolamia contigua
Lineage: Eukaryota; Metazoa; Arthropoda; Insecta; Hemiptera; Cercopidae
Description: tRNA-Trp
Source: RNAcentral
AAGACUUUAAGUUAAAUAAAACUAUUAACCUUCAAAGUUAAAAAUAUAAUUAAUAAUAUAAGCCUUA